Molecule: long non-coding RNA, 1153 nt
Organism: Brassica napus (rape)
Lineage: Eukaryota; Viridiplantae; Streptophyta; Magnoliopsida; Brassicales; Brassicaceae
Exons: 2
Source: RefSeq, a predicted model, not a curated record
GGUAGCUCUGAUCUUGGUAUAGAGCUGUUUACUAAAAUGAUGAAUCAAAAAACAAACUUUAAUACAAUAUAUUUAAAUGUACUGAUAGGCCUAAUUGAAAAUGUGAAAACAUAGGUUACUACAUAUUCGUUCCCUUUUGGAGUUCGAACAUCAAUGACUAAAGUUUAGUAUGAUCUUUCUUCAAACAUGUACUAAUUAACUUUGUCAAACACGGUAUGGCUUAGUUAUAAUCAGUUAGUUAGUGUUCAAAACGAAACAAAUUUGGGAUAAACAAAGAAACAAAUCACUUUGAAAAUAAUUAACUCUGGCAAAUAAAAUCAGAUGAUAAACAAAGAAAAAAAUCACAGGAAUACUAAUUAACUUUGUCAAAUAAAAUCAGUUGAAAUGGAAAGAAUCUGUGGAAAAAUAAGUAAAUAAUCAAAAUAAACUACAAUAUGGCAACAAAUAAACAAACAAAUCUUAGUCAAAAGUAAGUAAAUUUGUGAAAAUAAACAAUUUAUGAUAUAUCAGUUAUCUUAAUAUUAAGAAAAGUUAAUGGCAAAAAUAAAAAAUUCCAUAAAACCUACAAAAGAAUAAAAAGUGAAAGAAUCGGAUAGACUCGGGAAGUAGCCUGUUUCAGGUACGAGUCCUAUAACUUACAAUCUUUUCAUGUAAUUUUAUAAAUAGAUCUCUUUCAUGGUCAACUUCUGAUCAUCAAAACAGAUCUUAGAAAUAUAAAAUUUUGGUUUGUUUGUUUUUGUUUUGACUAUACAAUCUUGUUUUUUUUUUAAGAAACUGAGUAUUAGAAAGAGUAUUAAAAAUGGAUUCCUUCAAACUGGUGGUUAUUUUCACUCUUCUUGCUAUGACGGCCAUUUCAUGUGAUUUCUUUCCUGUUGAAGCGGAAAUUUUUGUCCAAGCUGCGACUCCGAUAUGUGGACCAGAUUGUAAUGGUACAUUCUCAUUUCAACAAUGCUAUAACCAUUGUGUUGAAUUAGGUUAUAAAAGAGGUUUUUGCAUUCUAUCCGAACCUAUCAGAUAUCGUUGUUGUUGUCCUUCUAACUGAUCAAAUAUGUUGUGGCCUAAAAGUUUCAGAAAAAAAUAUGUUGUGUCCUUUAAAUUUAAAACUAUGGUAGUGUUAUUUUGUAUUGUGAUGAUCAAAUAAAUCUAUGAAUAA